Molecule: long non-coding RNA, 207 nt
Filed under: Lathyrus oleraceus (garden pea)
Lineage: Eukaryota; Viridiplantae; Streptophyta; Magnoliopsida; Fabales; Fabaceae
Description: Pisum sativum (pea) long non-coding RNA (PSAT_LNC013556)
Source: RNAcentral
ACAUCAACAAGAGGAAUAUUCAUCACAUAGCAUGGAUUACUCAUGAUUUGUUUAUGAUUCUACAACCCUAACUUUUCUAGAAACCUAGAGUUUCUAACUAGAACUCACCUAGUAGAAGAAGAUGAAGUUGGUGAUGAUGAAGAUGAGAUGAUGGUGUUGAUGAACAUGCUCUUCAUGAGCUUUCCAUCUUUUUUCUCUUUUCUUCUU